CGGCCGCGUCGACCAGGAAACUGGGGCUAAUACCGGAUAGGAGCUCCUGCUGCAUGGUGGGGUUGGAAAGUUUCGGCGGUUGGGGAUGGACUCGCGGCUUAUCAGCUUGUUGGUGGGGUAGUGGCUUACCAAGGCUUUGACGGGUAGCCGGCCUGAGAGGGUGACCGGCCACAUUGGGACUGAGAUACGGCCCAGACUCCUACGGGAGGCAGCAGUGGGGAAUAUUGCACAAUGGGCGGAAGCCUGAUGCAGCAACGCCGCGUGCGGGAUGACGGCCUUCGGGUUGUAAACCGCUUUCGCCUGUGACGAAGCGUGAGUGACGGUAAUGGGUAAAGAAGCAC
RNAcentral lists this ribosomal RNA (341 nucleotides) under uncultured bacterium. RNAcentral describes it as "bacterial SSU rRNA". It matches the Rfam family "Bacterial small subunit ribosomal RNA", at positions 139 to 493 of the family's 1533-position model. The record is from RNAcentral.